GACGAACGCUGGCGGCGUGCUUAACACAUGCAAGUCGAACGGUAAGGCCCUUCGGGGUACACGAGUGGCGAACGGGUGAGUAACACGUGGGUGAUCUGCCCUGCACUUCGGGAUAAGCCUGGGAAACUGGGUCUAAUACCGGAUAGGACCACUGCCUGCAUGGGUGGUGGGGGAAAGCUUUUGCGGUGUGGGAUGGGCCCGCGGCCUAUCAGCUUGGUGGUGGGGUGAGGGCCUACCAAGGCGACGACGGGUAGCCGGCCUGAGCGGGUGACCGGCCACACUGGGACUGAGAUACGGCCCACACUCCUACGGGAGGCAGCAGUGGGGAAUAUUGCACAAUGGGCGCAAGCCUGAUGCAGCGACGCCGCGUGAGGGAUGACGGCCUUCGGGUUGUAAACCUCUUUCAGCACCGACGAAGCGCAAGUGACGGUAGGUGCAGAAGAAGGACCGGCCAACUACGUGCCAGCCGCCGCCGUAA
RNAcentral lists this ribosomal RNA (478 nucleotides) under uncultured bacterium. Its description in RNAcentral is "partial 16S ribosomal RNA". It matches the Rfam family "Bacterial small subunit ribosomal RNA", at positions 28 to 523 of the family's 1533-position model. The record is from RNAcentral.